Halichondria panicea is the source of this 2010-nucleotide long non-coding RNA. RefSeq lists it as uncharacterized. Lineage: Eukaryota; Metazoa; Porifera; Demospongiae; Suberitida; Halichondriidae. The transcript has 3 exons. The record is from RefSeq and is a predicted model, not a curated record.
CGUGGGUAGCCAUGAUUCUGAAUAAGGCACAUCCAAUUGCUCCUUUUUUGUUACCUCUUCCAAGCAGACCAAAAGUUCACAUGCAAAAUCUCCUCAUAUUCUGUGCUUUGGGGAUUGCUGUGAAAUGUCCUGUGUGGUAAGAAACUUCUCCUCAAAACUUGGUCCUCUGAACUACGUACUCGGAAAGACCCUCCGUGUAUCCUCUGGAGCUGCAUGGUUCCCCCUACAAUCUACAAAUGCUCAAGUUGAUUGUUUAACGAACACUUCUAAACGAAGAUUGACAUCGUUGUGCUCAACCAGCCAUGUGGGUGUGUUGACUGCCCAUCAUGGUUCAAUCCUAAGGACUAACGGCUGUUGCAAACCUCCCACCUAUCAGCAGAUGAUCUUUAGUAGUACUACAUCACGUCGAUAUUCAACCGAGCCCAGCCAAGACAACACAAACACCUCGCACUCAAACGACUCCACAUCAAUCACUUCCAAGGAUGCUAAAAGUUCUGAUUUCGAACUGGUCUACACGGCACCACUAAAAGGAGCAGUUCGAGCAAUCAAAAUCUUCUCCCUCACCACAGCAGCAGCUGCCAUGAUAGGUGGUCCUGUCCUGGUCUGGAUGGGUAAUACUUCCGUACCCCUAGUCGGGCGAGUGAUGAUGAGCACUCUAGUCAUGCUAGUGGGUUUUUCCACCACUGCACUCCUGCAUUGGUUAGUGAAGGGCUACGUUAUACAGAUGUACUUCAAUAAAAAGACCGAUAAGAUACAAUUAUACACACUGUCUAUGAUUGGACAAAAGAAACUUCACGAAUUCGAUAUUUCCGACGCUAAACCUCCGAGUGCGACUGCGUUCAGCUCAUUCCAAGCCCGAGGCAAGUCGUAUUUUGUUCAUGCGGAAGUUCUUGAAGAUGAUAAACUUAUGUCUAGGCUAUUAGGUGUGUAUGCAGAUAUAGAAAGAACUGAUAUGUGAUGCUUUGAAUUGUUAGACAUUGUAUGACACUCAAUAUCCUGGGCGCCACUGUCUUUAUUGACCCUUAAUUAAUUGUUCAGGGUAUCCUUAUUCGGAAGAUCUAUAAGACUGUGUGUAUUCAAUUUUGAUAUCCCCUUUAUAUGAGUUGUAGAGGGAAGUAACUAAUUAGUGGCUUCCUUUUCAGCCAUCAUACAUACAGGUUUCAUAAUGGAUUAUACGAUUUAGCCUUUGCUAUAGCUAGUUUAUUUUUUACAACAAGAAUAAUGAUGGCUGUUAGAAUGUCAAUGCUGUCUUCUCACUACAGAAGAAACCUCUUCCCUGUAAGUCAUGUUCGUCUAUUGUGUAGUUUUGCUAUGAGACCGAAUCCACGGGAAAUGCCUGAGGAAAGAAUUCAUCUUAAGAUUGGCACUCACCCACAUCACGCAACAACUAGCCUCUCAAGUUCGAUGUGCUUCAAAGGUGUCAGACUAGUCACACUUGGCACUAACAUGUCAAGACACUAUUCAACUGAGCCAAAAACAACUGACAGUUCACAUACUCUGGUACCUAAGAACGGAGCAGGUGAAUACGAGUUGGUCUACACAGCACCGCUGAGUAGACUCUUUACUAUAGGAUUAGGAUUGCAUAUGACCUGAAGAGCUUGUCCGUACUGAUUUUGUGUGGUUCGCUGUAUGUGGCUACAAAGAUACUGACUGAAAGGUACAUAACACAGCUCCACUACAACAAGAGCACGGAGAUGGUUAAGAUACUCACAACACCAAUAAUGCUACUUGAUUCGUUCAAACUUUUCCAGUUCAAAAGUUCGCACAGAGUGUGUGAGUUUAACAUUUCAGAAGCAAAGCCAGCUGCUAGUGAUGUGUUUAGUUCAUUCGAAGCGAAGGAACAACUGUAUUUCAUUCACACUGAUACCUUUCAAGAUAAGCAGCUACUAUCGAGGCUUGGUGUAUUACACAAUCAAAAACACUCCUAAACAAUUAUCAUGCAUCAAAGAAAAUGUCGUAUAACAUGUGACUUGUGUGCAUGCAUAAUAUUCAACCAAUAUUGUUUUCAUU